GAUGAACGCUAGCUACAGGCUUAACACAUGCAAGUCGCGGGGCAGCAUGGGGGUUGCUUGCAAUCCCCGAUGGCGACCGGCGCACGGGUGAGUAACGCGUAUUCAACCUGCCCUUCACCACGGGAUAACCCGGCGAAAGUCGGACUAAUACCGUACGUUGUCCAUUGACGGCAUCCGAUUUGGACGAAAGGCUUGGCGGCGAGUGAUGGGGAUGCGUCCGAUUAGCCAGACGGCGGGGUAACGGCCCACCGUGGCUACGAUCGGUAGGGGUUCUGAGAGGAAGGUCCCCCACACUGGAACUGAGACACGGUCCAGACUCCUACGGGAGGCAGCAGUGAGGAAGAUUGGUCAAUAGGCGUAAGCAUGAACCAGCCAAGUAGCGUGCAGGAUGACGGCCCUAUGGGUUGUAAACUGCUUUUAUGCGGGGAUAAAGUGGCCAACGUGUGGGCUUUUGCAGGUACCGCAUGAAUAAGGACCGGCUAAUUCCGU
This 489-nucleotide ribosomal RNA is filed under the name uncultured bacterium. Its description in RNAcentral is "partial 16S ribosomal RNA". It matches the Rfam family "Bacterial small subunit ribosomal RNA", at positions 28 to 506 of the family's 1533-position model. The record is from RNAcentral.